This 70-nucleotide transfer RNA is filed under the name Ipomoea nil (Japanese morning glory). It matches the Rfam family "tRNA". Rfam says of the family: Transfer RNA (tRNA) molecules are approximately 80 nucleotides in length. The record is from Rfam by way of RNAcentral. Lineage: Eukaryota; Viridiplantae; Streptophyta; Magnoliopsida; Solanales; Convolvulaceae.
GUCGUUGUAGUAUAGUGGUGAGUAUCCCCGCUUGUCACGCGGGGACCCGGGUUCGAUCCCUGCAACGGCG